This 468-nucleotide ribosomal RNA is filed under the name uncultured bacterium. Its description in RNAcentral is "partial 16S ribosomal RNA". It matches the Rfam family "Bacterial small subunit ribosomal RNA", at positions 28 to 507 of the family's 1533-position model. The record is from RNAcentral.
GACGAACGCUGGUGGCGUGCUUAACACAUGCAAGUCGAACGGAAAGGCCCUGCUUUUGUGGGGUGCUCGAGUGGCGAACGGGUGAGUAACACGUGAGUAACCUGCCCUUGACUUUGGGAUAACUUCAGGAAACUGGGGCUAAUACCGGAUAGGAGCUCCUGCUGCAUGGUGGGGGUUGGAAAGUUUCGGCGGUUGGGGAUGGACUCGCGGCUUAUCAGCUUGUUGGUGGGGUAGUGGCUUACCAAGGCUUUGACGGGUAGCCGGCCUGAGAGGGUGACCGGCCCCAAUGGGACUGAGAUACGGCCCAGACUCCUACGGGAGGCAGCAGUGGGGAAUAUUGCACAAUGGGCGGAAGCCUGAUGCAGCAACGCCGCGUGCGGGAUGACGGCCUUCGGGUUGUAAGCCGCUUUCGCCUGUGACGAAGCGUGAGUGACGGUAAUGGGUAAAGAAGCACCGGCUAACUACGUG